GACGAGGUGGCCGAGAGGUUAAGGCGUUGGACUGCUAAUCCAUUGGGCUCUUCCCGCGUGGGUUCGAAAUCCAUCCGCGUCG
Non-coding RNA from Cordylochernes scorpioides, 82 nucleotides. NCBI's taxonomy places the organism in Eukaryota, Metazoa, Arthropoda, Arachnida, Pseudoscorpiones, Chernetidae. The record is from the annotation of a GenBank genome assembly.